Molecule: non-coding RNA, 418 nt
Organism: Lepus europaeus (European hare)
Lineage: Eukaryota; Metazoa; Chordata; Mammalia; Lagomorpha; Leporidae
Source: the annotation of a RefSeq genome assembly
AUGAAUCAGGGCCAGCUCCAGGUGCUGCCCCACAGGUUUUGGUCCGAGUCUCAGUCACUGUGGUAUGUCUUCAGCAGCAGGACCAAGGUCAUUGUCACAGGUCAGCCCGCGGUGACCCCCUCGGUCAUUCUGUUCCCACCCUCCUCUGAGGAACUCAAGGACAACAAGGCCACCUUGGUGUGUCUGAUCAAUAACUUCUACCCCAGCACUGUGAAGGUGAACUGGAAGGCCGAUGGCACCCCCAUCACCCAGGGUGUGGACACCACCCAGCCCUCCAAACAGCAACAACAAGUACACAGCCAGCAGCUUCCUCAGCCUGUCAGUUGAUCAGUGGAAAUCCUACCAGAGAGUCACCUGCCAGGUCACGCACGAGGGCCAAGCCGUGGAGAAGAGCCUGGCCCCUGCAGAAUGUUCUUAG